GAAUACAUCAUCUUCAAGGCCUGGCCAAGCUGGACUUUGUUACUACGCCCAUGUGCCUGGAAUUUCUCAACCUGGGUAGCAGUUGUCUUUGGGAAACUGCUUGCACUUUCUGAGAUCUGAUCUUUGUGUUCUGCCUGCAAAUGUCUUGAUUCGGAUUCGUGAAGAAGGAGGGGCUACCGAGGGCGGAUGCUCCACAUCCAUCUUCCCCACACAGGCUUCUGCCUGGAGAGGAAGAUAAAGCAGCUUGUUCCUCCCUCACUAAUGCAUUACCGUGGUGUGGCCUGUGGCAAACAAGGACCAAUUAUUGAGUGUAGGUGUGGGUGUGCGUGUGAGCAUGUGCAGAGCCGAGGCUGAGGAGAGGAGUGAAGUGGCCAGACAAUCGUGGUCACGUGUGUUUUCCAGGGUGUGGGGCUGUGAAUGAACCCAUGCAGGGCCUGGGAGCUGUGGAGGCUUAGACACCUCUCUCUGAUCCCCGGACGCCAUGCAAUGAGAAUUGAUACUCAACACGCUGUGCUCUGCAACGCUGCAAAUGCCUUUUGAUGAUUAAAGAAAGAUUGGAUUGUUGCGCCUUG
Long non-coding RNA from Mus musculus (house mouse), 572 nucleotides. RefSeq annotates it as predicted gene, 34138. Lineage: Eukaryota; Metazoa; Chordata; Mammalia; Rodentia; Muridae. The transcript is spliced from 3 exons. The record is from RefSeq and is a predicted model, not a curated record.